CAGGGAAUAGUUUAAUUAAAAUAUUAGUUUUGGGAAUUAGUGAUAGAGAAUAUCUUUCCUUGA
This 63-nucleotide transfer RNA is filed under the name Symplocodes ridleyi. RNAcentral describes it as "tRNA-Pro". Lineage: Eukaryota; Metazoa; Arthropoda; Insecta; Blattodea; Blattellidae. The record is from RNAcentral.